Vibrio sp. N418 is the source of this 135-nucleotide non-coding RNA. The record is from Rfam. Lineage: Bacteria; Pseudomonadati; Pseudomonadota; Gammaproteobacteria; Vibrionales; Vibrionaceae.
UCAUCAUCACCAUCACCCAAUGUAGUCUUUCGGGAGAUGAACGCAUACCCGGGGGACAGGAAACUCCCGGAGGCUAAAUCAAAGAUUUUUAGAAUUAACCCUCGGGAGACUCACAUCUUCCGAGGGUUUUUCAAU